CAUGCCGUAAACGAUGUCAACUAGCUGUUGGAUGCUGAUAAGUAUUUAGUAGCGAAGCAAACGCGAUAAGUUGACCGCCUGGGGANCAACGCGAAGAACCUUACCUACCCUUGACAUAGAGCGAACCUAGUGGAGACACUGGGGUGCCGAAAGGAACGCUCAUACAGGUGC
RNAcentral lists this ribosomal RNA (171 nucleotides) under uncultured bacterium. Its description in RNAcentral is "partial 16S ribosomal RNA". It matches the Rfam family "Bacterial small subunit ribosomal RNA", at positions 796 to 1041 of the family's 1533-position model. The record is from RNAcentral.